CCUACGGGAGGCAGCAGUGGGGAAUAUUGCACAAUGGGCGAACCCCUGAUGCAGCGACGCCGCGUGAGGGAAGAAGUAUUUCGGUAUGUAAAGCUCUAUCAGCAGGGAAGAAAAUGACGGUACCUGAUUAAGAAGCCCCGGCUAACUACGUGCCAGCAGCCGCGUUAAUAAGUAGGGGGCAAGCGUUAUCCGGAUUUCCUGGGUGUAAAGGGAGCGUAGACGGCAGAACAAGUCUGGAGGGAAAUGCCGGGGCUUAACCCCGGAACUGCUUUGGAAACUGUGCAGCUAGAGUGCAGGAGAGGUAAGUGGAAUUCCUAGUGUAGCGGUGAAAUGCGUAGAUAUUAGGAGGAACACCAGUGGCGAAGGCGGCUUACUGGACUGUAACUGACGUUGAGGCUCGAAAGCGUGGGGAGCAAACAGGAUUAGAUACCCCUGUAGUC
RNAcentral lists this ribosomal RNA (440 nucleotides) under uncultured bacterium. RNAcentral's name for it is "partial 16S ribosomal RNA". It matches the Rfam family "Bacterial small subunit ribosomal RNA", at positions 338 to 795 of the family's 1533-position model. The record is from RNAcentral.